CAAACUAAGAAGUACAAUGUCCCAACAGCGCCUCGACUCAUUCAUGAUUUUGUACAUUGAACAAGAAUUGGCUUCGUCAGUUAAUUACAACGAUGUGAUUGAGGAAUUUAAGUCCAUAACACCUGGUGCGGCUGACGGAGAGGCUGCAGAAUCCGGAUCGGCGAUGGCCACCGACCGUGGAUCACAGGUGUAGAAGACAGAGCGAUCCAGAGAGCCGGGAUCCUCCCGUCCUGCAAUCACAGCUACCAGGUACCUCCUUGCGCUCCUGCCCCACAGGCUCCCUAGGGCCGUGUCCCUGGUGUGAGGGGCUCGGCUCAUCCCCGCCCCUUGGGAUCCCUGGCCU
Chelonia mydas (Green sea turtle) is the source of this 343-nucleotide long non-coding RNA. RefSeq lists it as uncharacterized. The transcript is spliced from 3 exons. NCBI's taxonomy places the organism in Eukaryota, Metazoa, Chordata, Testudines, Cheloniidae. The record is from RefSeq and is a predicted model, not a curated record.